GAUGAACGCUGGCGGCGUGCCUAAUACAUGCAAGUCGAGCGAACAGACGAGGAGCUUGCUCCUCUGACGUUAGCGGCGGACGGGUGAGUAACACGUGGAUAACCUACCUAUAAGACUGGGAUAACUUCGGGAAACCGGAGCUAAUACCGGAUAAUAUAUUGAACCGCAUGGUUCAAUAGUGAAAGACGGUUUUGCUGUCACUUAUAGAUGGAUCCGCGCCGCAUUAGCUAGUUGGUAAGGUAACGGCUUACCAAGGCAACGAUGCGUAGCCGACCUGAGAGGGUUAUCGGCCACACUGGAACUGAGACACGGUCCAGACUCCUACGGGAGGCAGCAGUAGGGAAUCUUCCGCAAAGGGCGAAAGCCUGACGGAGCAACGCCGCGUGAGUGAUGAAGGUCUUCGGAUCGUAAAACUCUGUUAUUAGGGAAGAACAAAUGUGUAAGUAACUAUGCACGUCUUGACGGUACCUAAUCAGAAAGCCACGGCUAACUACGUG
Molecule: ribosomal RNA, 497 nt
Filed under: uncultured bacterium
Lineage: Bacteria
Description: partial 16S ribosomal RNA
Rfam family: Bacterial small subunit ribosomal RNA
Source: RNAcentral